GUUUCACUCAGUCAAGGCUGCCCCGCUGCAGAGAUUUCUCUCUGCAGGAAUUCCUAUCCGAUAUGUCCUCUAAUGCAGGUCCACCUCUGGGCAGCCCAGCGAGGGGAAUUGGGAGAUGUGUCGUCUGUAGGGAAGGGGUGGGGGUAGCGUUUGAGAUGCCUGAAGUUUCUGUUCUGCCCAGAAGGGAAACACAGACCGCAAGGACCCCCAGCUCCAAGGUGCCAAGCGUCUCGGAGUGCCAGGACCAGGCCGAUUCUGGCGCGUGGGCAUCGUGGAUCAGUCAGUGGGGGCGGCGGUUUUGCCUCUCUGCAGGCGGCUCCACAUCGUUUUACCGGGGCCCGAGCCGGCCUGCCCAUCUCCCCAGUUCGCCUGGGACUCCAGUUCUGUUUGCAAAGGAGCCGCAGGUAAGCUUGUCUCAGGACAAGCGCCGGGCUGCGCGGCCAUAGCAGAAGGGAAAAGGGAAGUCCCAGGCUGCUUCGUCGGGGCGCAGUGAAUGUCUGGGUACCGGCCAGAGAAAGUGACCUUUGCACCUCGCAGGCCUCCAGACCUCCCGGCAGCACGUCCCCAAAAUGCCCUCGCCUGUGUGUUUGUCCCUGUACGUUUCUCCCCAAACGGGCGCCCUGCUCGGGGAGGUGAUCCGAUCUGUGUCGCCCAAGAUUGGAGCAUCCCGGCGCCCCUAAAACUGCAGGCCGAGAGGGGGCAUUUCAGUUGUCUCCCCGCCCCCCGUUUUCGCAGAGAAAGCGGGGUGCAGUGAACGGGAAAUGUCUCAGGAAGGAGGCAGGAACCCGUCCCCCUGCUCCGGUUGACGCGGCCCGCCCUGGGGGCAGCGGAGGUUGCAAACCCGCUCGGCGCCCCGGGGGCGCGGGGAUCUAGCCAAGGCAAGAGAGACUGGGCGAGCUGGCUAGUCCGGGACUGGCUGAGAGUCCGAGGUGGAGAGGAGGGGAGAGCUGGCAGUGGGGACGUCCCGGCCGUGGCCCCAGAGGGACUUUGCUUCCAAAGGGAGUGUGCUGGCUCGCUGUCUUUUUUUAACCUUCCUUUUUCGAAAAUAUCUGUUUUUAGUCAAGGUACCAGGGAGACGGGCAUCGUGUGGAUUCCCUCCGGGCUUCUCUAGGAUGGCCCGCGGGGAACUUCCUAGGACUGUGUGUGUGUGUGUGUGUGUGUGCGUGCGUGUGUUUGUCCCUCCAUAAUUUCCCUCUUUAAAAAAAAAAUCUCUGGGGCAUUUUCAGCUGAAAGUGCUUUUGCCUUGCUGAUUUAAAAAUACAAAUAAAACCAGCGCUGGACGCA
RNAcentral lists this long non-coding RNA (1284 nucleotides) under Bos indicus x Bos taurus (hybrid cattle). RNAcentral describes it as "lncRNA (ENSBIXG00005031068.1)". Lineage: Eukaryota; Metazoa; Chordata; Mammalia; Artiodactyla; Bovidae. The record is from RNAcentral.